This 480-nucleotide ribosomal RNA is filed under the name uncultured bacterium. RNAcentral's name for it is "bacterial SSU rRNA". It matches the Rfam family "Bacterial small subunit ribosomal RNA", at positions 32 to 507 of the family's 1533-position model. The record is from RNAcentral.
AACGCUGGCGGCAUGCCUUACACAUGCAAGUCGAACGGCAGCACGGGAGCAAUCCUGGUGGCGAGUGGCGAACGGGUGAGUAAUAUAUCGGAACGUGCCCAGUCGUGGGGGAUAACGUAGUGAAAGUUACGCUAAUACCGCAUACGAUCUAAGGAUGAAAGCGGGGGAUCGCAAGACCUCGCGCGAUUGGAGCGGCCGAUAUCAGAUUAGGUAGUUGGUGAGGUAAAGGCUCACCAAGCCGACGAUCUGUAGCUGGUCUGAGAGGACGACCAGCCACACUGGGACUGAGACACGGCCCAGACUCCUACGGGAGGCGGCAGUGGGGAAUUUUGGACAAUGGGCGCAAGCCUGAUCCAGCAAUGCCGCGUGCAGGAUGAAGGCCUUCGGGUUGUAAACUGCUUUUGUACGGAACGAAACGGUGAGCUCUAAUACAGUUUGCUAAUGACGGUACCGUAAGAAUAAGCACCGGCUAACUACGUG